This 3060-nucleotide long non-coding RNA is filed under the name Prunus persica (peach). RNAcentral's name for it is "long non-coding RNA (PPER_LNC003810)". The record is from RNAcentral. Lineage: Eukaryota; Viridiplantae; Streptophyta; Magnoliopsida; Rosales; Rosaceae.
UCUUAGACCACUAAAUUCUAAAGACAUCGAUCACUUCACAUGCAAGCAAACCCCACAUACCCACUAAUUAAUACAACUUAAAUUUACUCAGCCUUCUCCACCGGCUCUUCCUUGACAACUUUCUCCUCGGCAGCAUCAGCAGCUGGCUUCUCUUCCUCAACAGCUUCAGGCUUCUCUUCUUCCUUAACCACUACCUCUUCUUUAGGAUCUUCAGCCGCUGGUUCCGAUACCGGCUCCGGGGCAAUUGGUUCGGCAGAAGGAGCCUCAGCAGAGUCGUCAAUAUUCAAUUUCUCCUUAGUCUCCUCUACAAGUUCUGGCUCAGCAGUCUUCUCUACUGUUGGUUCUUCUGCUUCUUCUUUGGCCACAACAUCUUCCUUCGCCUCCUCCACCACCUUCACCUCCUUUGUCUCAACCUCAACUGGGGUGGUUUCAUCAGCUUCUGCAGCCUCAGCCUUAGGAACUUCACCAGAAGCCACAACAGUCUCUGCCUCCUUUGGCUCUUCUGCAACAGCCUCUGCCUCAGCUGCGCAUGCUGCUACUUCUGUCACUACUUCUUGUGCCUUAAUUGGUUCCUCAUGAGUUGUGUCCUCCACAGGGAGGGCUGUCUUUGCUGAUACAACCUGCAAGAUUAUUAUAUAUUUAUAGUACUCUCUAAUGUUAAUUAACACUUAAUUAAAGGAUCAAAAUCUCAAUUAGUUAUUACAUUUGCAAGAGAGAGCUUGAAUUGAUCAUAAGCACAAAUCUAUGUAAACUCUAGAAAUGAAAGGUGAGUUAAUACCUGAGCAGUGGCCAUGGGAAUUGAAAAGGUGAGGAAGAAAUUGAAGUAAAAAACAAGAAGACUGAUCAAAGAUAGGCAAACUUAAGAGUAAGAAAUGAAAAGAACAGAAGUCAAUGGUUGCAAUGAAAAAAUAUGAUCAAUUGGGAUUGGUUUAUAUAGAGGCCUAGAGGCCUUCUCUCACUGCCUUAGGUCGAUGCAUGAGACAGAGGGCCCAUGGGGUGGUGGAACUUGGGGAAUCUUGGGAUUUGACACCUCAUCUCUCUCUCUCUCUCUCUCUCUCUCUCUCUCUCUACAUUCAAGGGAUUGGGUAAUAAUGUUACACAAAAAGUUUUUGGAUCGAUCUUAGGUUUAAAGAAAAUGUCUAAAUUAAUUAAUGGCUAGUUGAAAAUUUGUAAUCUUUGGAUUGGAGGGGUAUCAAAUAAUGGAGGAGGCCAUAUUAUUUUUCCAUGCAAGCCAUCAUUCUUCUUUUGGUUAUGUGUGCUCCUGUGCUUUGUGCAGUCGGGCUUGCAGGGUUACAUUACCAUCCUGUCCACUCAUAUGCAUCUUCAAAUCUUAAUUAAGUAAUUACUAAUUACUUAAUUACAACUGGUUUUGCCUCUCAUCAUCAUUGCCCUUUUUCUGUUCCUAUGUCAAUUUCUACCAUGCAUGUUACUAUUCGAUCUACUUCAGCGUAUAGGGGUAGGGUAAAUAUUAUUUGGCAUUUUGCUUCCUAUUUCAAUUAAAUUCUUGCAAGAAAAUGAACCCUUUUUUCCCUUGAAUUAUUGACUAUAUACACCCUUGCAUUGCAUGCCAAGACAUUGUAGUUAUUAUUAGGCAUAUUUACCUCUUUUUUUAUAACUAUUUUAUGCAUCAGUCUUAAGUCUCUUCUCUAAAAUUUAAAAAUAACAGUAUCGUAGAUAAUAAAAGAUUAGACGAGCAUAACUAUACACCAAGAAUCAGUCAUCAAACUACCAAAGCAACCUCAACUUUCUUUUUAUAACAUAACAAUAUCGAGAGUAAUAAAAGAUUAAACAAGCAUAACUAUAUACAUCAGGGAUCAAUCAUCGAAUUACCAAAGCAACCUACCAUCUCUUCCCACAAAGCAAUUAGAGGGAACCUAGCUCCCAAUUGAAUGCCUCCCUCCCUCCCUCCCAAAACCUAGAAUUUAACAAGUAGACAAAUUGUGAAGAAUCAUGCUUAUUGCGUAACAUCAACGUCCAAGUCACUAAAAGAUACAAAACGUUAGGCCGGCGUUAGAUUAUGGGACCCUAACAACCAAUGGCCACAAUUUGCUUCUCAGAAUUGAAUAAAAUUCUGACGUGGAUCACAUCCUGAUAUGUUCCAUCACCUUGUCCCUCCUCUACACCAAGUGUGACCCGAAGCUAGCUGGUGGACCCCAAUUAUUAGGCGACAAAUUUUGAACUCUCAAGACCAAUUGUGACCUAACUUUCCCUAGCCUCCUUGGCUGAAUUGGAACACAGUCAUACAUGAUGCUCCUAUACGUAAUCAGCUCAAUUUGUCUUACAACAUUUAGGUGCCUCCACUAUUUAACGAACUAACAUUCAAUUUAGUAUAAAACCCCAAUUUUAACAUACUAAAAUUCUUAAUACGAUAUAUCAAAAGUUUUACACACACGUGAAUGACUAACAUGAACAUUCACGUGUACAAGUAAAAUUUUUAUUCAUUGUAUAUGGAGGUUAUAAAUGUGAUCUCUAUUCAUCCAUGCUAAAGUUUUCACUAAUAUUCAUGACAUUCUUUGUGUCAUUUGACUCAAAAACCAAGUGGGACAGUAAAAAUAUUCUUUCGAGUUAAAAAUCCAAGAACAAAUCUACCCCGUGAUCCAUGCAAUUGAAACUCCGUACGCUGGCAGGCGAUCAUGGCUUUGGGAUUUGCUUUGUAAACAUUUGCAACCAUGAUUGAAUAUCCUACCGUUAACAAAGUCCUACGUGCCGUUUCAUUCAGACUUUCAUGAGUUUGAGAUCCUUGUUAGGGCAAAGAGCCCUACACAAAAAAGGGUACCCUCCUCCCUCCUCCCUCCUCCCUCCUCCCUCCUCCAACUUUUCCAAGCUGUCAUGUAUGGACGGAUGACUUUUUAGCCUUUAGGUAGGUUUUUCAGUUUGGGCGGUGGGGUGGCCCACCAAAGCGGAGCCCGCAAAAAAUUCCCAGUACCUCUACUGUAUCCUAGUGCCAAUGAGGUCACGACACGUGGCAAACACUUUGCCGACUACGUGGUGGGAUGUGGCUCUCUGUCAGCAUUGGACAUGAUUUGGUACUACUUUAGGGUUCAACCCCAAUUCGGGGGG